AUUGAACGCUGGCGGCAGGCCUAACACAUGCAAGUCGAGCGGAUGAAGGGAGCUUGCUCCUGGAUUCAGCGGCGGACGGGUGAGUAAUGCCUAGGAAUCUGCCUGGUAUGGGGGGAUAACGUGCGGAAACGGGCGCUAAUACCGCAUACGUCCUGAGGGAGAAAGUGGGGGAUCUUCGGACCUCACGCUAUCAGAUGAGCCUAGGUCGGAUUAGCUAGUUGGUGGGGUAAAGGCCUACCAAGGCGACGAUCCGUAACUGGUCUGAGAGGAUGAUCAGUCACACUGGAACUGAGACACGGUCCAGACUCCUACGGGAGGCAGCAGUGGGGAAUAUUGGACAAUGGGCGAAAGCCUGAUCCAGCCAUGCCGCGUGUGUGAAGAAGGUCUUCGGAUUGUAAAGCACUUUAAGUUGGGAGGAAGGGCAGUAAGUUAAUACCUUGCUGUUUUGACGUUACCAACAGAAUAAGCACCGGCUAACUUCGUG
Molecule: ribosomal RNA, 484 nt
Filed under: uncultured bacterium
Lineage: Bacteria
Description: partial 16S ribosomal RNA
Rfam family: Bacterial small subunit ribosomal RNA
Source: RNAcentral